GAUGAACGCUGGCGGCGUGCCUAACACAUGCAAGUCGAGCGAAGCAUUUUAAAGGAAGUUUUCGGAUGGAAUUUGAAAUGACUGAGCGGCGGACGGGUGAGUAACGCGUGGGUAACCUGCCUCAUACAGGGGGAUAACAGUUAGAAAUGAUUGCUAAUACCGCAUAAGCACACAGUACCGCAUGGUACAGUGUGAAAAACUCCGGUGGUAUGAGAUGGACCUGCGUCUGAUUAGCUAGUUGGCGGGGUAACGGCCCACCAAGGCGACGAUCAGUAGCCGGACUGAGAGGUUGGCCGGCCACAUUGGGACUGAGACACGGCCCAG
RNAcentral lists this ribosomal RNA (324 nucleotides) under uncultured bacterium. Its description in RNAcentral is "bacterial SSU rRNA". It matches the Rfam family "Bacterial small subunit ribosomal RNA", at positions 28 to 334 of the family's 1533-position model. The record is from RNAcentral.